UACGUAGGGCGCGAGCGUUGUCCGGAAUUAUUGGGCGUAAAGAGCUCGUAGGCGGCUGGUUGCGUCUGCUGUGAAAUCCCGGGGCUUAACCCCGGGCGUGCAGUGGAUACGGGCCGGCUGGAGGCAGGCAGGGGAGAAUGGAAUUCCCGGUGUAGCGGUGAAAUACGCAGAUAUCGGGAGGAACACCGGUGGCGAAGGCGGUUCUCUGGGCCUGUACUGACGCUGAGGAGCGAAAGCGUGGGGAGCGAACAGG
Molecule: ribosomal RNA, 253 nt
Filed under: uncultured bacterium
Lineage: Bacteria
Description: partial 16S ribosomal RNA
Rfam family: Bacterial small subunit ribosomal RNA
Source: RNAcentral